RNAcentral lists this ribosomal RNA (253 nucleotides) under uncultured bacterium. RNAcentral's name for it is "partial 16S ribosomal RNA". It matches the Rfam family "Bacterial small subunit ribosomal RNA", at positions 524 to 776 of the family's 1533-position model. The record is from RNAcentral.
CACGUAGGGCGCAAGCGUUGUCCGGAAUUAUUGGGCGUAAAGAGCUCGUAGGCGGUCUGUUGCGUCCGCUGUGAAAACUCGGGGCUUAACCCCGAGCCUGCAGUGGAUACGGGCAGACUAGAGGUAGGUAGGGGAGAAUGGAAUUCCCGGUGUAGCGGUGAAAUGCGCAGAUAUCGGGAGGAACACCGGUGGCGAAGGCGGUUCUCUGGGCUUUACCUGACGCUGAGGAGCGAAAGCGUGGGGAGCGAACAGG